Molecule: ribosomal RNA, 460 nt
Filed under: uncultured bacterium
Lineage: Bacteria
Description: partial 16S ribosomal RNA
Rfam family: Bacterial small subunit ribosomal RNA
Source: RNAcentral
CCUACGGGUGGCAGCAGUGAGGAAUAUUGGUCAAUGGGCGCAAGCCUGAACCAGCCAAGUCGCGUGCAGGAUGACGGUUCUAUGGGUCGUAAACCUCUUUUGUACGGGAUUAAACUCCGAGACGUGUCCCGGUUUGUAUGUACCUUAUGAAUAAGGAUCGGCUAACUCCGUGCCAGCAGCCGCGGUAAUACGGAGGAUCCGAGCGUUAUCCGGAUUUAUUGGGUUUAAAGGGUGCGUAGGCGGAUUUUUAAGUCAGCGGUGAAAGGCGGGGGCUCAACCACGGAAUUGCCUCUAAUACUGUUAGGCUAGAGAAUUGUUGAGGCAGGCGGAAUGCGUGGUGUAGCGGUGAAAUGCUUAGAUAUCACGCAGAACCCCGAUUGCGAAGGCAGCUUGCCAAGCCAUGACUGACGUUGAGGCACGAAAGCGUGGGGAGCAAACAGGAUUAGAUACCCUAGUAGUC